RNAcentral lists this ribosomal RNA (324 nucleotides) under uncultured bacterium. RNAcentral's name for it is "bacterial SSU rRNA". It matches the Rfam family "Bacterial small subunit ribosomal RNA", at positions 77 to 422 of the family's 1533-position model. The record is from RNAcentral.
GAGCAAUCGCGUCAGUGGCAGACGGGUGAGUAACGCGUGGGAACAUACCCUCCGGUUCGGAAUAGCUCAGGGAAACUUGGAUUAAUACCGGAUACGGCUGAGAGGCGAAAGAUUGAUCGCCGGAGGAUUGGCCCGCGUUCGAUUAGCUAGUUGGUGAGGUAACGGCUCACCAAGGCGAUGAUCGAUAGCUGGUCUGAGAGGAUGAUCAGCCACAUUGGGACUGAGACACGGCCCAAACUCCUACGGGAGGCAGCAGUGGGGAAUAUUGGACAAUGGGCGCAAGCCUGAUCCAGCCAUGCCGCGUGAGUGAUGACGGCCUUAGGG